Molecule: ribosomal RNA, 114 nt
Filed under: Pteropus alecto (black flying fox)
Lineage: Eukaryota; Metazoa; Chordata; Mammalia; Chiroptera; Pteropodidae
Source: RNAcentral
AUCUACGGCCAUGCCGCCCUGAACAAGCCUGAUACCGUCGGAUCGCAGAAGUAGGGUCAGGCUUGGUUAGUACUUGUAUGGGAGACCACCUAGGAAGACUAGAUACUGUAGGCG